Molecule: transfer RNA, 58 nt
Filed under: Salmo salar (Atlantic salmon)
Lineage: Eukaryota; Metazoa; Chordata; Actinopteri; Salmoniformes; Salmonidae
Rfam family: tRNA
About the family: Transfer RNA (tRNA) molecules are approximately 80 nucleotides in length. Their secondary structure includes four short double-helical elements and three loops (D, anti-codon, and T loops).
Source: Rfam by way of RNAcentral
UGGCUCAGUUGUUAGAGCAUAGCGCUUACAAUGCCAGGGUUGUGGGUUCAUUUCCCAC